RNAcentral lists this ribosomal RNA (384 nucleotides) under uncultured prokaryote. RNAcentral's name for it is "bacterial SSU rRNA". It matches the Rfam family "Archaeal small subunit ribosomal RNA", at positions 341 to 725 of the family's 1478-position model. The record is from RNAcentral.
GCGAAAACUUUACAAUGCUGGCAACAGCGAUAAGGGAACCUCGAGUGCCAGGUUACAAAUCUGGCUGUCGAGAUGCCUAAAAAGCAUUUCAUAGCAAGUGCCGGGCAAGACCGGUGCCAGCCGCCGCGGUAACACCAGCGGCUCGAGUGAUAACCGUUCUUAUUGGGGCUAAAGGGUCUGUAGCCGGCCGGAUAAGUGUCUUGAGAAAUCUGGCAGCUUAACUGUCAGGCUUUCAGGAGAUACUGUCUGGCUCGAGGCCGGGAGAGGUGAGAGGUACUUCAGGGGUAGGGGUGAGAUCUUGUAAUCCUUGAAGGACCACCAGUGGCGAAGGCGUCUCACCAGAACGGACCUGACGGCAAGGGACGAAAGCUAGGGGCACGAACC